RNAcentral lists this transfer RNA (71 nucleotides) under Marmota monax (woodchuck). RNAcentral's name for it is "tRNA.Ala". It matches the Rfam family "tRNA". From Rfam's summary of the family: Transfer RNA (tRNA) molecules are approximately 80 nucleotides in length. Their secondary structure includes four short double-helical elements and three loops (D, anti-codon, and T loops). The record is from RNAcentral. Lineage: Eukaryota; Metazoa; Chordata; Mammalia; Rodentia; Sciuridae.
GGGGUUGUAGCUCAGUGGUAGAGCGCUCACCUAGCAUGUGUGAGGCCCUGGGUUGGAUCCUCAGCACCACA